This 1269-nucleotide long non-coding RNA is filed under the name Homo sapiens (human). Its description in RNAcentral is "HSALNT0050336". The record is from RNAcentral. Lineage: Eukaryota; Metazoa; Chordata; Mammalia; Primates; Hominidae.
UGACUUCAUACAUAAUGAACAUGAGAAGAAUAAGUUUCCCUAUAAACAACAUCAGAGGAGGUACUGAAGAUAAUAAUAAACUGUGAGCUUCAUUAAAACUUAGGAUGUGCAAAUUUAACGUGAGCAAAAUUAUGUGUUUCUUAUAAGGGAUAGGAAAAAGCCCCCAAAGAGAUAGAAAGAAUGCAGAAAUGAAAAGGAUAAUUGGGGAAAAGGCAAUCUAAAUACCAAGACCCUGGGAAAAGCGAGAAAGCCAUGCCCAUUCCAGGCCCUUGGACGAAGCAAAAAAGCCAGCAUCUUUUGUCUCAGACAACGUGCCACCAGCCCAAAGAGCACAGACAUACUAAAGCAGAGGCAGCAGCUUCCCUGAAGCACGCACAGAGCUGGAAGAAGGAGAACACAUUCCAUACAUUUUUCUAGAAAGUCUAGUAUUGCUUUCACUUCCCUUGAGUCAUUUAGGUUUCUGAAAGCUAAUCAUCUCCCAGAAAAAAUCUAACAGAUGGUAAGACACUUUCACAGCCAUAAAGAGAUGUAUACAAAGGGUUAAGAGGCUUAGAAAGAAUACGUUGUCCAGUCAAUUGCUAGUCUGUUCCAGAAUGAAUCCUCUCUAUCCACUUCCUUUUCAUGCAACAUGGUCAACCACUCAUCAUCUUGGAUCUUUUUUUGUCCUUGAAGUGUGGAGCUGAUAACACAAAUCUCAGCAGAAUAGAGAAGCACACAAGACUAUGUCCAUCUUCACACCCACACCGGAGAACAGGCUGAGUGCAUACACAUGGACGCGUGGGGAGAAGAGGAGGUGACCAUCCGUCCCUUCACAGCAUGCUAACAAUUUUGUCAACUGGCUCCUCAACAUACUCAGGCUGGGGUGGCGGGGGUGGGGGAGGACAUUUUCCUACAGACACAGUAGGAACAUGGCCUCUAGGCAUUAAAUUAACCAGCGGUUUCUUUGGCAUGUUCGAACAAGUCUAGAACCCAAAGCGCAUAUGCUAAGGGGAGAGGAAAAUUGCCUACUUGAUAAAAAUAAGCGGUAUCUAACCUCUGAGCUCAGAGCUUGAUUUCUGAUGCCAGUUUGAUAAGACUGGCAAAUGCACUUCUUGGUAACAACACUGAGGCCAGUACGGGAGCACCGAGUAUUCAAGUCUCACACAUAGCAUGACUUAAGAAAUGACAGCAGCAUUAGGAAAUGUGCUAAAAUUUUUAAAGGCGUAACAACCCUGUCUUCUGGUUACCCUAACCUGUGAUCUGUUUAUUUCCAUUUUCCUUUUUAAAAAA